Molecule: ribosomal RNA, 497 nt
Filed under: uncultured bacterium
Lineage: Bacteria
Description: partial 16S ribosomal RNA
Rfam family: Bacterial small subunit ribosomal RNA
Source: RNAcentral
GAUGAACGCUGGCGGCGUGCCUAAUACAUGCAAGUCGAGCGAACGGACGAGAAGCUUGCUUCUCUGAUGUUAGCGGCGGACGGGUGAGUAACACGUGGAUAACCUACAUAUAAGACUGGGAUAACUUCGGGAAACCGGAGCUAAUACCGGAUAAUAUUUUGAACCGCAUGGUUCAAAAGUGAAAGACGGUCUUGCUGUCACUAAUAGAUGGAUCCGCGCUGCAUUAGCUAGUUGGUAAGGUAACGGCUUACCAAGGCAACGAUGCAUAGCCGACCUGAGAGGGUGAUCGGCCACACUGGAACUGAGACACGGUCCAGACUCCUACGGGAGGCAGCAGUAGGGAAUCUUCCGCAAUGGGCGAAAGCCUGACGGAGCAACGCCGCGUGAGUGAUGAAGGUCUUCGGAUCGUAAAACUCUGUUAUUAGGGAAGAACAUAUGUGUAAGUAACUGUGCACAUCUUGACGUUACCUAAUCAGAAAGCCACGGCUAACUACGUG